CGUAGGGACCAAGCGUUGUUCGGAUUUACUGGGGCGUAAAAGGGCGCGUAGGCGGCGUGGUAAGUCACUUGUGAAAUACUCUGAGCUUAACUCAGAACGGCCAAGUGAUACUGCUGUGCUAGAGUGCAGAAGGGGCGAAUCGGAAUUCUUGGUGUAGCGGUGAAAUGCGUAGAUAUCAAGAGGAACACCUGAGGUGAAGACGGGUUGCUGGGCUGACACUGACGCUGAGGCGCGAAAGCCAGGGGAGCAAACGGGAUU
Molecule: ribosomal RNA, 258 nt
Filed under: uncultured bacterium
Lineage: Bacteria
Description: partial 16S ribosomal RNA
Rfam family: Bacterial small subunit ribosomal RNA
Source: RNAcentral